This 742-nucleotide ribosomal RNA is filed under the name uncultured bacterium. Its description in RNAcentral is "bacterial SSU rRNA". It matches the Rfam family "Bacterial small subunit ribosomal RNA", at positions 8 to 796 of the family's 1533-position model. The record is from RNAcentral.
AGAGUUUGAUCAUGGCUCAGAACGAACGCUGGCGGCAGGCCUAACACAUGCAAGUCGAGCGCUGUAGCAAUACAGAGCGGCGCACGGGUGAGUAACACGUGGGAACAUGCCCUUCGGUUCGGAAUAACUCAGGGAAACUUGAGCUAAUACCGGAUACGCCCUUACGGGGAAAGAUUUAUCGCCGAUCGAGUGGCCCGCGUAGGAUUAGCUAGUUGGUGGGGUAAAAGCCUACCAAGGCGACGAUCCUUAGCUGGUUUGAGAGAACGACCAGCCACACUGGGACUGAGACACGGCCCAGACUCCUACGGGAGGCAGCAGUGGGGAAUCUUGGACAAUGGGGGAAACCCUGAUCCAGCCAUGCCGCGUGAGUGAUGAAGGCCCUAGGGUUGUAAAACUCUUUCGCGCACGACGAUAAUGACGGUAGUGCGAGAAGAAGCUCCGGCUAACUUCGUGCCAGCAGCCGCGGUAAUACGAAGGGGGCUAGCGUUGUUCGGAAUUACUGGGCGUAAAGCGCGCGCAGGCGGUCCUUCAAGUCAGAGGUGAAAGCCCAGGGCUUAACCCUGGAACUGCCUUUGAAACUAGAGGACUUGGGUACGGGAGAGGUGAGUGGAAUUCCGAGUGUAGAGGUGAAAUUCGUAGAUAUUCGGAAGAACACCAGUGGCGAAGGCGGCUCACUGGCCCGUUACCGACGCUCAGGCGCGACAGCGUGGGGAGCAAACAGGAUUAGAUACCCUAGUAGUCC